GGGUCCAGCGACAAACUCAUGUGCAACAAUAGCAGCAGUCGCUUGGCUGCACUCAGACC
This 59-nucleotide ribosomal RNA is filed under the name Karlodinium veneficum. Its description in RNAcentral is "partial Archaeal large subunit ribosomal RNA". The record is from RNAcentral. Lineage: Eukaryota; Dinophyceae; Gymnodiniales; Kareniaceae.